GCAACUUUGGUCCAAUGGUUAAGAUUCCGCUUUCCCAUGUUUGCUAGGCGGAGAUCGGGGUUCAAUUCCCCGGAGUUGCA
This is a transfer RNA of Serendipita vermifera MAFF 305830, 80 nucleotides long. It matches the Rfam family "tRNA". From Rfam's summary of the family: Transfer RNA (tRNA) molecules are approximately 80 nucleotides in length. Their secondary structure includes four short double-helical elements and three loops (D, anti-codon, and T loops). Lineage: Eukaryota; Fungi; Basidiomycota; Agaricomycetes; Sebacinales; Serendipitaceae. The record is from Rfam.